This 43-nucleotide non-coding RNA is filed under the name Prorocentrum micans. The record is from RNAcentral. Lineage: Eukaryota; Dinophyceae; Prorocentrales; Prorocentraceae.
UUUUUUUUUUUUUUUUUUUUUUUUUUUUUCAAAUGAAUCGAAA